AUUGAACGCUGGCGGCAGGCCUAACACAUGCAAGUCGAACGGUAACAGGGAUCAGCUUGCUGAUUCGCUGACGAGUGGCGGACGGGUGAGUAAUGUCUGGGAAACUGCCUGAUGGAGGGGGAUAACUACUGGAAACGGUAGCUAAUACCGCAUAACGUCGCAAGACCAAAGAGGGGGACCUUCGGGCCUCUUGCCAUCGGAUGUGCCCAGAUGGGAUUAGCUAGUAGGUGGGGUAACGGCUCACCUAGGCGACGAUCCCUAGCUGGUCUGAGAGGAUGACCAGCCACACUGGAACUGAGACACGGUCCAGACUCCUACGGGAGGCAGCAGUGGGGAAUAUUGCACAAUGGGCGCAAGCCUGAUGCAGCCGUGCCGCGUGUAUGAAGAAGGCCUUCGGGUUGUAAAGUACUUUCAGCGGGGAGGAAGGGAGUAAAGUUAAUACCUUGGCUCAUUGACGUUACCCGCAGAAGAAGCACCGGCUAACUCCGUG
This 490-nucleotide ribosomal RNA is filed under the name uncultured bacterium. RNAcentral describes it as "partial 16S ribosomal RNA". It matches the Rfam family "Bacterial small subunit ribosomal RNA", at positions 30 to 507 of the family's 1533-position model. The record is from RNAcentral.